AACGAACGCUGGCGGCAUGCCUAACACAUGCAAGUCGAACGAGAGCUGCGGGUCUAGUCGUGCAUUGGGGCGUAACGGGGGGGAAACUGCCCAGAGGUUUGGAAUAACUCCCGGAAAGGGGUGCGAAUACCGGAUAUUAUCUUGGGACCAAAGAUAUAUCGCCUUUGGAUGGGCGCGCGUUGGAUCAGCUGGUUGUUAGGGUAAAAGGCUCUAACUGGGUCGUUCCGUAGCUGGUAUGAGAGGAUGGGCAGCCACACUGGUACGAGGAAACGGCCCAGAAUCCUACGGGAGGGAGCAGAGGGGAAUAUUGGACAGUCGGGGAAGGGAUGAUGCAGCAAUGACGGGUGAGUGAUGAAAGCCUUAGGGAUGUAAAGCUAUUUUACCCGGGAUGAUAAUGACGGUACCGGGAGAAUAAGCACCGGCUAACUCCGUG
RNAcentral lists this ribosomal RNA (433 nucleotides) under uncultured bacterium. RNAcentral's name for it is "partial 16S ribosomal RNA". It matches the Rfam family "Bacterial small subunit ribosomal RNA", at positions 29 to 507 of the family's 1533-position model. The record is from RNAcentral.